This 2132-nucleotide unclassified non-coding RNA is filed under the name Hevea brasiliensis (rubber tree). The record is from RNAcentral. Lineage: Eukaryota; Viridiplantae; Streptophyta; Magnoliopsida; Malpighiales; Euphorbiaceae.
GAAUUUUAUUUUAAGCAACAUUAUUAAUGAAAAACAAUUCAUUCGACUAUUACAAUAAUUAAACUUUAUAUUUCACGCAAGCGCUCUCCAGCAGCAGCUGCAGCAGUUUCUUGAAACUAAUAUUAGUAUCACCAUAAAUGAUCUCAAGAAAAGCAUGCCUUUCCUCCUCCCUGCACAGAGCCCUUUGCUUACUCUGCUCAUUCAAUACCUUCGCUUCGAUUAUAUUCUAUUCUCAUUCCUCCAAAGCUUGCAAAUAUAUUGUGAAAUUAGAAAUUGAAUUAUAUUCCCAAGAAUUCAUGCUUAUCAAGAGCUCACCAACCAAAAAAAUUACAGGAACUAGGGUCAAGGAGAACAAGUAAAUCUCCAUUCUAGGAUUUCAUAAGAUUAAAUUAGUUAGUGAACUAGGCUAACUUCAGUCGGGCUAGGCUUGGAAAACCUUUAGCCUCGUCGUCGUCUGAAAGAUACUGUUAUUGCCAAUUUCAACUGGCUUCCCAGAUUCACUUGUUGGGCCCAAAACUGCUGCAACAAUUGCCUCCUCGAAGUCCUUGUUGUCGGGCAGCAGCUCAGACAAUCUUUCCUCUGUUUCAUCGGAUAGCCUUCUUGACUUGGUUUCUGGGUUGUCAGGCUCCACUGAUGGCACAUUGAACACCCCCAUUUCAUUCCCUCGGUUUGAAUUAGCAGCAUUUCCUGACCUUGUUCUCUUAAGGGUCUCAUGGAAUUGAUUUCCCAUUGGCUCUUCUGCCAUUUUCCUGGCAUAGAACGGGGGCGCAUCUACAUUCAGUGAAUUCCCAAAAAGAGCAAACUCUUUGAUACUUUUUUGCUGUGAAAGCAACGUCUGAUAGGCUACUAUAUUCGAAUCUAUGUUCUCAUCGGCAAAAUCAUCAUGCAAUUUGCUUGAAUUUGCAAUUGGCAAGCUGCUAUGAUCCUUGCAGGGCUGAGGCUGCCAAAUCGACGAAGAACCAAGAAAGGCAUCGAAGAGCCUACUCUGUUCAACCCGGUCUCCUGCCUUGUUCAUCAUCUCCGAUUCAAGAUCCUUAAGCAUCUGCUGUGCUCUUUCAUAGGCUUUGAGAUGCGAAUCCACACCUCUUGGGCCAUCAGCAACUGCUGGCUUCACUCGUCGCAAUGUAUCCUUAGCCUCUGCAAUUCUCCCUUGCUUCAUCAAGCAUAUACCAAGAUUGCACAUCUUAUUGUUAUCAGCUGCAAUUGAAAGUGCCCGCCGAUAGGCAUCUUCUGCUUCAACGUAGUUAUUUUGUUGCAUCAAUGCCCAUCCCAAGUUCCCCAGUAACGAGUUGCUUCUUGUUCCACAGAUACCUGAAAUUUCUUGCUUCUUGUUCCACAGAUACCUGAAAUUUCUUGCUUCUUGUUCCACAGAUACCUGAAAUUUCUUCCCUUGAGACCUGGCUGUCUUUGUGUGUUUCCUGUUGAAAUCAAGCCCUUGUUGGAUCAAGUAUAUUUUGUGCUUCAACAAUGCUAUUUGGUCAUCCAAUCUCCCACAUCUCUACAAGAUCAUUUAGCACAUAAAAACAACAAAACGAGACAAAUGACCAGAGAAUAAUUAAACAUUACAUAUUGGGAUUUAGUCGGAAACCUUGUAAAGAUCCAAAAGAAUAUUGUCAAGGGACUCUUGCGCUUGAUCUGAACAUCGGUUUCGUAAUGACUUGAUAGCUUCAAUGGCUUCCUCAGCCCGAUUCUGUUGCUUCAUGACAAUGGCCAUAUCUUUCAAAGCACUAUCCACUCUAUCCCCAGCAUUUAUAGCUGCCCAAAAUAAGGGAAUCGCCUUCUCUGGGUCUUUAUCUACCAAUUGAACAUUUUUUGCUCUCACAUAAGGACUGUCACCCACAGGGACUUUGUGGAUGGCAUGAAAGGACUCAGAGCGAGUUCUGGACACCCCAAGAGGCUUGGCUGGUGAAGUGGGAGCAGAUUUGGUGGGUCUGAAACCAGGAGGAGCAGUCCACAUAUCUUGCAGCAUAUUUGAAAGCAAAAUUAAAGACCCCUUUUCCCUCUUCUCGUCUAUUUGCCUGGGGAAAGAGAGUAAAGAUAAGAAGAUAACAGUGAAGAAUGAGAAGAGACGUAGGAGAAGAGGAGGGAAGGCUUAGAGAAAGACACUGAGAAAUACGGAGGAAGGUGGUGAU